CACGUAGGAUCCAAGCGUUAUCCGAAUUUACUGGGCGUAAAGCGCGUGUAGGCGGUUUGGUAAGUUGGAUGUGAAAGCUCCCGGCUCAAUUGGGAGAGGCCGUUCAAAACUGCCAGACUUGAGGACGGUAGAGGGAAGUGGAAUUCCCGGUGUAGUAGUGAAAUGCGUAGAUAUCGGGAGGAACACCAGUGGCGAAAGCGGCUUCCUGGACCGUUUCUGACGCUCAGACGCGAAAGCUAGGGGAGCGAACGGG
Molecule: ribosomal RNA, 253 nt
Filed under: uncultured bacterium
Lineage: Bacteria
Description: partial 16S ribosomal RNA
Rfam family: Bacterial small subunit ribosomal RNA
Source: RNAcentral